This 5534-nucleotide long non-coding RNA is filed under the name Homo sapiens (human). Its description in RNAcentral is "non-protein coding lnc-SEC24C-5:2". Lineage: Eukaryota; Metazoa; Chordata; Mammalia; Primates; Hominidae. The record is from RNAcentral.
UGGCGCCGCAUACUUAACCGCCGCGGCUGCUAUAGCUACAGGGAGCCAAGGCAACCAGCUCUCGCGACACUUUCCUUGGCCAUGGCGAGAGCACACGAGAAGAGACUCUCGCAAGAAAGUAAAUGAGUCAGGCUGGAAACAGCGAAGUAUAUCUCGCGAUAGCACUGUUUAAAAUGGCGGCUUCAAGGCGUUUCACGGGUGUCCCGGACAGGCGUGGAGGUGGGGCGCAGGCGAGGAUGAAGCUUGAGUUGGCCAGGAGUCGGAAAACGAUUGCAGGCGGGACCGCGUCCGUCGGGGCUGAGGAAACUUAGCGUGGCAGACCCUAAACUGGGAUAACUUUAGGGAUAUGGCCUUCUUUUCCCAGUUGCCUCAAACUUAGAGCAGCGUCGUCUUUAGCCGAAGAUUCAUUUUCCCAGCAUUUUCCUUCUCCAGGCGGAGUAGUUGGAGACAGAGGGCAAGCCAGAAACUGACCUUCCCAUCUCCUCAUUCCCUUCCAUCAAGAACUUUUCAUCGUUCUUUCCCCACCCUGGUUUGUAAAUGGUAUUUGGCUUCAUAAAAACGUUUGUCCACAGGUGCCCUGCUCCAUCAGUUCGCUCCAGCAAUAUAGGAAGUUACCAAAAAAAAAAUUUUUUUUUAUUGACCUUGGAUGCAGAAAGGAACCGCGUUGGUGUGUGAUUUGAAUUUUGGACUUCUUGUUUCCUGCCUUGUGGCCACGUCCCCCUUACUUGGUGACUCUCAGCACUUAGUUGUGGGGCUUUUUCUCUCUGCUCUCAGACAACUAUAAAAGCAGACUAAUUGAACAGCAUCUAGAACAGAAGGUGGAUGUAAAGAACAUUGGUCGGCCGGGCGCUGUGGCUCACGCCUGUAAUCCCAGCACUUGAGAGGCCGAGGCGGGCAGAUCACGAGGUCAGGAGAUCGAGACCAUCCUGACCAACAUUGUGAAACCCCGUCUCUACUAAAAAUACAAAAAUUAGCUGGGCGUGGUGGCGUGUGCCUGUAAUCCCAGCUACUCGGGAGGCUGAGGCAGGAGAAUUGCUUGAACCAGGGAGUUGGAGGCUGCAGUGAGCCAAGAUCACACCACUGCACUCCAGCCUGGCGACAGAGCGAGACUUCGUCUCAAAAAAGAAAAAAAAAAAAUGAGCCGGGCAUAGUGGCACGCGUCUGUAGUCCCAGCAACUCGGGAGGAUAAAGUGGGAGAAUCCCUUGAGCUGGGAGGUGGAGGUUGCAGUGAGCUAUGAUCACACCACUGCACUCCAUCAAACAGAGCCAGACUCUGCCUCAAGAAAGAGUGUGAGAGAGAUCAAAAUAUCAUUUCAACAUAUAACCAAUGUUAUUAACAAGAUAACUUACAUUCUUUCUUUCGUACUAAGUUUUCAAAAUUUGGUGUUUAUACUUGGAGCACAUCUCAUUAAGGACUGGGAGCAUUUAAAGAGCUCAAGAGCCACAUGCAACUAGUGACGAGAGUAUCGGACAGCGCAGUCCUAGACUCUAGAGUAAUGAAUGAGCUCUCUAGAUGUCCGGGGGGUGGUAUCAUGGGUGUGUGGUGUAUGUAAAAGAAACUCUUGAAAUUGCUAACUCAAAUGGCUGCAGAGGCUAGGCAAGUAACAAUAAAAGAUGACCUGACAUAGGGACUAGGACCCACUGGAGACUACAAACUCCUAUCUAAAAGAGCCACUUUUCCUGAGUUUUAAAACACAGUGAUGCCAAACAAGAUGUCUGUGAGUAGGACACACAGCUAACUCUGCGGCCAAUAUACUGCCUCAGUGAACCGUGGUAUUCAAAUGUAUGAAACACAAGGAUUUUUUGUUGUUUUUUAUUUUUUUUGAGACAGGGUCUCUCUAGUCAUCCAUGAUCUCGGCUCACUACAACUUCCACCUCUCCCACUCAAGCGAUCCUCCCACCUCACCUCCCAAGUAGCAGGGACUGCAGACACCUACCACUACACCUGGCUAAUUCUUGUAGAAAGGGUAUUUUAACAGAAGAAUAGUAACUAGGCAAAGGGAUGGCAAACCUUGAAAACCUGACCACAUUUCUUUCUGGGUCCUGUACAAGUGUGUGCACUUUAAGCCAUCAUUGCAAUUUAGGAUUAUAAUUUGACUUCUAAGUAGAGUUUCCUACUGAGGAGAUAAUUUUACAGCCAACCUGGGCUCCCUAUAAAUUAAUAAGCUGAUAUCAUGAUUUUUAUUAUAGUUAAAAUUUUAGACAUUCUGAGCUUGAAAAAAUUAUUUCCAGGUUUUCAAAGCUGUUCACUAGCAGACUCCAGACAUUUUUUUCUCCAAAUUUAAGAGAAGGCAUAUACAUAUAUAUAUAUAUAUAUAUACACACACACACACACAUAUAUAUAUACACACAUAUAUAUAUUUUUUUGUUUUGUUUUGUUUUUUUUCUGUUUUUUGUUUUUUGUUUUUUUGAGACAAGGUCUCACUCACACCCAGGCUGGAGUUCGGUGGCAUGAUCUCGGCUCAAUACAACCUCCACCUCUCAGUUUCAAGUGAUUCUUUUGCCUCAGCCUCCAAAGUAGCUGGGAUUACAGUCACGUGCCACUGUGCCCGACUAAUUUUUUUGCAUUUUUAGUAGAGACACGGUUUCGACAUGUUGGCCAGGCUGGUCUCGAAUUUCUGGCUUCAAGUGACCCGCCCACGUUGGCCUUCCAAAGUGCUGGGAUUAGGAGUGUGAGCCAGCACACCUGGCCUACAAGAAGGCAUUUAAUUAUUUUAUGGUUGACUGUGAAAGCUCUUUGUCACAGGAAAGUUAUUUGUCUUUGUACUGCUUUUGCCUGAUACAGUACCUGGUAUACAGAAGGCACAUAAUAAACAUUUGUUAAAGGAAUAUAGUCCUUAAAACUUUUGAGGGGCUCACAGACUUAAAACCCGAGAAUCUGAUGAAGGCUAAGGCUUAUUCAGAUCUUAACUGUGCCCUAUCCAUAUUCCCUCAAACUACCCCAGAGUUCACCUCAACUUUGGUAGACAGAUCUUGUACAGGCCCAGAACUUCUUACCUCAAACACCUGAGUAACUCUAUCUGGAAGUGCUAGCAGAGUUAACAUUAUGAGAGACAAUCUACAAUCAAUGAGAGAUGGGAUUUGGUAGCUAAAUAUUCCAGUUCCUCAUCCCCUUAGUGGAGCCAUUCUGAAGCAUAUUCUACUGUAAUGUUUCUCAAAAUUUUCUAGCAUAUGAUAAUCACCUGGAGAGAUGAAUAUGACACAGAUUCCAGCCAGGCUCAGUGGCUUACACCUGUAAUCGCAGCACUUUGGAAGGUUGAGGCGGAAGGAUCACUUGAGCCCAGGAGUUCGAGACCAGCCUGGGCAAUAUGGUGAGACUUUGUGAGCAUGGUGGCACACAUCUGUGGUCCCAGCUACCUCAGAGGCUGAGGUGGGAGGAUCACUUGAGCUUGGGAGGUUGAGGCUACAGUGAGCCAAGAUUGCGUCACUGUGCAUCAGCCUGAGUGACAGAGGAAGAGUCUGUCUCCAAAAAAAAAAAGAAAAACGAUAGAGAUUCUUGGGCCCAAGAGUUUGCAUUCUAACCAAGCUCCUAGGAAUACUGAUGCUGCUGCCAAUCCAUGGACCACAUUUUGUUUUUUUGUUUUUUUUUUUUUGUUUUUUUGUUUUUUUGAGAUGGAGUUUCACUCUUCUUGCUCAGGCUGGAUUGCAAUGGCGCGAUCUCGGGUCACUGCAACCUCCACCUCCCGGGUUCAAGUGAUUCUCCUGCCUCAGCCUCCCAAGUACAAGUAGGUGGGAUUAUAGGCAUGUGCCACCACACCCGGCUAAUUUUGUACUUUUCGUAGAGAUGGGGUUUCGCCAUGCUGGUCAGGCUGGUCUCGAACUCCUGACCUCAGGCGAUCCGCCCACCUCAGCCUCCCAAAGUUCUGGGAUUACAGGCGUGAGCCACCGCACCCAGCCUAGACCACGUUUUGAGUAGCAUUGUUUCUAAGACUCCCCAGUGGGAUUCAGCCCCAAUAGCUCAAAGGGACUUUUGGCUUUCCUCUCACUCCCUUAUACUGUUUGGAUUUCUUGGGAUCAUAUCCCAAAUGAACUGGUCUUGCAUCCAAAUCUUUCUUUCAGGGUCUGUUUAGGGUGGGUGGGAGAAUACAAACUAUGACAACCCUCUCCUUAGGAAAAAGUACAGAGGGGCAGGUGUGGUGGCUCACGCUUGUAAGCCCAGCGCUUUUAGGAGGCUGAGGUGGGUGGAUCACAAGGUCAAGAGGUCAAGACCAGCCUGGCCAACAUGGUGAAACCCCGUCUCUACUAAAAAUACAAAAAAUUAGAUGGGCAUGGUGAUGGGUGCCUGCAAUCCCAGCUACUCGGGAGGCUGGAGCAGGAGAAUCGCUUGAACCCAGGAGGCAGAGACUGCAGUAAGCCGAGACGCGCCACUGCACUCCAGCCUGGGUGACAGAGCGAGACUCCAUUUAAAAAAAAAAAAAAAAGGAAAAGGUACAAAGUUUUGUAUACACGUUUAAAGGAGGUAGGCCAGGCACGGUGGCUCCGCCUGUAAUCCUAGCACUUUGAGAGGCCGAGGCAGGCAGAUUGCUUGAGCUCAGGAGUUCAGGACCAGCCUGGGCAACAUGGCAAAACCCCAUCUCUACAAAAAAAUACAGAAAAUUAGCCAGGCGUGGUGGCGAGCUCCUGUAGUGCCACCUACUUGGGGGUCUGAAGUGGGAGGAUCACUUGCACCUGAGAGGUGGAGACCGCAGUGAGCUAAGAUUGCACCACUUCACUGCACUCCAGUCUGGGCGACAGAGUGAGACCCUAUCUCAAAAAAAAAAAAAAAUGCUUAGAGGGGGUAUGAAUUCUCUGGAAUUUGCUCAUUAGAUUAUAAGUGAAGAUGACCAGGGUAAAUGCCAUUUGACCCAAGGUGCACUAAAAUAUGAUCCAUCUAAUGCAGAUUCUGGCAAACUUAAUCUAACCAUUAGCAGCUCAUGGAGUUGACUGAAUUCAGCCAGCUCUCCUUAGAAGUUAUUUUCUCAGAUCUUAUUGCCAUCUUUUCAUUCUUUCUGAUCUGCAUUAGUCUUACUUUGUGGAACAUGGCAGUAGGCCUGGGACUCUUAGAGAGUCCCCAUCCUUGUAAUGAGCAAAAAGAAUAUUGUUGCGCAUUCCUAUCGGGCUCUUAAGAUUUCUUCCCAACCAUACUGCUUUCUAGGUACCACUGUAGUGCCCUUGUAACCCUUAGAUCUUUUCUUGCUGUGUUCAACACAGAGCCUGGCAUACUAUAACUGUAGCUGGUUUCUCCCAUUUCCUUCUGGAUUCCACAUGGCCCCCUAUUCUAUUUCAUCCUUUUGGGAAUGUGUAAUCUUUGACACUUAUAUUCCUAAACCCACUUUGGUAUAAUCUGGAAACUUUAUGGCAUGCUCUAGUCUGUGACAAUCAGGAUAACCCUGAUUAUACCAGCUUCUAAUCAACUACAUAAAGCGGGUGAACACCAGGGUCACCAACACCCAUUUCCCAACUGCGGUGCACAGCAGCUUUUUAGCUUUGCCAACAUUUGGGCCGGCACAUGUGUUUGUGCGUGAUUAUUUGUCUCAUGUACUAUUGAAUAAACG